UGGGGGAUAUUGCACAAUGGGCGAAAGCCUGAUGCAGCGACGCCGCGUGGGGGAUGAAGGCCUUCGGGUUGUAAACUUCUUUUGCUCUGAACAAGGCAUUCCUUUGGGGUGUGUUGAGUGUAGGGGUUGAUUAGCGCCGGCUAACUACGUGCCAGCAGCCGCGGUAAUACGUAGGGCGCGAGCGUUGUCCGGAAUUAUUGGGCGUAAAGGGCUUGUAGGUGGCUGGUUGCGUCUGUCGUGAAAGCUCAUGGCUUAACUGUGGGUUUGCGGUGGGUACGGGCUGGCUUGAGUGCAGUAGGGGAGGCUGGAAUUCCUGGUGUAGCGGUGGAAUGCGCAGAUAUCAGGAGGAAUACCGGUGGCGAAGGCGGGUCUCUGGGCUGUUACUGACGCUGAGGAGCGAAAGCGUGGGGAGCGAACAGG
Molecule: ribosomal RNA, 420 nt
Filed under: Fusobacteriota bacterium
Lineage: Bacteria; Fusobacteriati; Fusobacteriota
Description: Fusobacteria bacterium partial 16S ribosomal RNA
Rfam family: Bacterial small subunit ribosomal RNA
Source: RNAcentral